Small nucleolar RNA from Mercurialis annua (annual mercury), 72 nucleotides. Lineage: Eukaryota; Viridiplantae; Streptophyta; Magnoliopsida; Malpighiales; Euphorbiaceae. The record is from RefSeq and is a predicted model, not a curated record.
AUUGUGCCUGUGAUGGUUUUAAAUAUACUCCGAGCAAUUUGCUAUGAAAACAUUUUAAUUCUGAGGCACUUC